CUCGAGUCCUGUGGUGUUGCUAGUUAUUUUAAUUGAGUGACACACAAGGUGGGUAUGAAUGAAUUUUACAGCCAAUUAGGGCUAAGCAUGGAUUGUACAGGAAAGAGAGUCUUUUUAGUGCAAAUUUAUGGUCCACUCAAGACACAUAACUUAUGACAGGACUAGUAACCGCAGCUGAGCAGGCUUCUUUCCGGAGCCUCUUGUCCUCUAAACGGGUUUUUCUGGACACUUGCAGUAGGUAAGGAGGCUGUCGACUAUGGAACUGAGCGAAGACAGUGUGCACUUGAGGAACGAAUUAAGACCCGUAAACAAGGAUGAAAGCCCCCGCCCCGCAGACUUCAGCUCCUCCUCCAUGAAGG
RNAcentral lists this long non-coding RNA (359 nucleotides) under Homo sapiens (human). RNAcentral's name for it is "HSALNT0157647". The record is from RNAcentral. Lineage: Eukaryota; Metazoa; Chordata; Mammalia; Primates; Hominidae.